Molecule: ribosomal RNA, 332 nt
Filed under: uncultured eukaryote
Lineage: Eukaryota
Description: partial 18S ribosomal RNA
Rfam family: Eukaryotic small subunit ribosomal RNA
Source: RNAcentral
CCCUUAGAUGUUCUGGGCUGCACACGUGCUACACUGGCAGGUUCAGCGAGCUUCAUGCCCUGAUCUGAAAGGAAUGGGAAAUCUUUUCAAAACCUGCCGUGCUUGGGAUAGAUGUUUGCAAUUAUUCAUCUUCAACGAGGAUUGCCUUGUAAGCGCACGUCAUCAGCGUGCAUUGAAUACGACCCUGUAUUCUGUACACACCGCCCGUCGCUCCUACCGAUUGAAGUUUUCGGUGAGUUGACAGGAGGAUUUUUUUGAAACUGGUUCGCCAGUGGAUUUUAGAUCAAAAUGCCAACGAAUCGAUGGCUUUAGAGGAAGGAGAAGUCGUAACA